AGAGUUUGAUCCUGGCUCAGGAUGAACGCUAGCGGCAUGUCUCACCCAUGCAAGGAGAACGGUAAACGGGGUAUCAAUAUCACGCCUAAAUGACCGCAGGGGUGCGUAAGACGUAUGCAAUCUGCCCUGUACUGGAGAAUAUCUCCCCAAAAGGGGAAUUAAUACUCCGUAAGAUCACACUAAGGCAUCUGACAGUGAUUAAAACCACGGUGGUACAGGAUGAGCAUGCGGAUGAUUACCUAGUUGGUAUUGUAUCGGUCCGCCAAGGCUACGAUCAUUAGGUGGUCUAACAUGAUGAUGCCCCUCACUGGGACUGACACACUGCCCAUAGUCCUACGGGAGGCAGCAGUGGGGAAGAUUGGACAAUUGAUUCAAGGCUGAUCCAGUCAUGCCGCGUGGGUGAUGAAGGCCCUAGGGUUGAAAACCCCUUUAUGCGGGGAACAUAAUAACCGGACCCUCAGAGGAAACCCCAGGUAACUUCCUGUGACCAAACGGUUUAA
Molecule: ribosomal RNA, 500 nt
Filed under: uncultured bacterium
Lineage: Bacteria
Description: bacterial SSU rRNA
Rfam family: Bacterial small subunit ribosomal RNA
Source: RNAcentral